This 468-nucleotide ribosomal RNA is filed under the name uncultured bacterium. RNAcentral describes it as "partial 16S ribosomal RNA". It matches the Rfam family "Bacterial small subunit ribosomal RNA", at positions 28 to 507 of the family's 1533-position model. The record is from RNAcentral.
GACGAACGCUGGCGGCGUGCUUAACACAUGCAAGUCGAACGGAAAGGCCCUGCUUUUGUGGGGUGCUCGAGUGGCGAACGGGUGAGUAACACGUGAGUAACCUGCCCUUGACUUUGGGAUAACUUCAGGAAACUGGGGCUAAUACCGGAUAGGAGCUCCUGCUGCAUGGUGGGGGUUGGAAAGUUUCGGCGGUUGGGGAUGGACUCGCGGCUUAUCAGCUUGUUGGUGGGGUAGUGGCUUACCAAGGCUUUGACGGGUAGCCGGCCUGAGAGGGUGACCGGCCACAUUGGGACUGAGAUACGGCCCAGACUCCUACGGGAGGCAGAAGUGGGGAAUAUUGCACAAUGGGCGGAAGCCUGAUGCAGAAACGCCGCGUGCGGGAUGACGGCCUUCGGGUUGUAAACCGCUUUCGCCUGUGACGAAGCGUGAGUGACGGUAAUGGGUAAAGAAGCACCGGCUAACUACGUG